Molecule: ribosomal RNA, 478 nt
Filed under: uncultured organism
Description: partial 16S ribosomal RNA
Rfam family: Bacterial small subunit ribosomal RNA
Source: RNAcentral
GUACACUCCUGCGGGAGGCAGCAGUGGGGAAUUUUGGACAAUGGGCGAAAGCCUGAUCCAGCAAUGCCGCGUGCAGGAUGAAGGCCUUCGGGUUGUAAACUGCUUUUGUACGGAACGAAAAAGCUCCUUCUAAUACAGGGGGCCCAUGACGGUACCGUAAGAAUAAGCACCGGCUAACUACGUGCCAGCAGCCGCGGUAAUACGUAGGGUGCGAGCGUUAAUCGGAAUUACUGGGCGUAAAGCGUGCGCAGGCGGUUAUGUAAGACAGAUGUGAAAUCCCCGGGCUCAACCUGGGAACUGCAUUGGUGACUGCAUGGCUAGAGUACGGUAGAGGGGGAUGGAAUUCCGCGUGUAGCAGUGAAAUGCGUAGAUAUGCGGAGGAACACCGAUGGCGAAGGCAAUCCCCUGGACCUGUACUGACGCUCAUGCACGAAAGCGUGGGGAGCAAACAGGAUUAGAAACCCUGGUAGUCCCAUGA